AUUGAACGCUGGCGGCAGGCUUAACACAUGCAAGUCGAGCGGGGUGAUGGUGCUUGCACUAUCACUUAGCGGCGGACGGGUGAGUAAUGCUUAGGAAUCUGCCUAUUAGUGGGGGACAACAUCUCGAAAGGGAUGCUAAUACCGCAUACGUCCUACGGGAGAAAGCAGGGGAUCACUUGUGACCUUGCGCUAAUAGAUGAGCCUAAGUCGGAUUAGCUAGUUGGUGGGGUAAAGGCCUACCAAGGCGACGAUCUGUAGCGGGUCUGAGAGGAUGAUCCGACACACUGUGACUGAGACACGGCCCAGGCUCCUACGGGAGGCAGCAGUGGGGAAUAUUGGACAAUGGGGGGAACCCUGAUCCAGCCAUGCCGCGUGUGUGAAGAAGGCCUUAUGGUUGUAAAGCACUUUAGGCGAGGAGGAGGCUCUUUUGGUUAAUACCCAAGAUGAGUGGACGUUACUCGCAGAAUAAGCACCGGCUAACUCUGUGCCAGCCGCCGCCGUAA
This 503-nucleotide ribosomal RNA is filed under the name uncultured bacterium. RNAcentral describes it as "partial 16S ribosomal RNA". It matches the Rfam family "Bacterial small subunit ribosomal RNA", at positions 30 to 523 of the family's 1533-position model. The record is from RNAcentral.